This 228-nucleotide ribosomal RNA is filed under the name uncultured bacterium. RNAcentral's name for it is "partial 16S ribosomal RNA". It matches the Rfam family "Bacterial small subunit ribosomal RNA", at positions 15 to 231 of the family's 1533-position model. The record is from RNAcentral.
GAUCAUGGCUCAGGAUGAACGCUAGCUACAGGCUUAACACAUGCAAGUCGAGGGGCAGCAUGGUCUUAGCUUGCUAAGGCCGAUGGCGACCGGCGCACGGGUGAGUAACACGUAUCCAACCUGCCGUCUACGUCUUGGACAGCCUUCUGAAAAGGAAGAUUAAUACAAGAUGGCAUCAUGAGUCCACAUGUUCACAUGAUUAAAGGUAUUCCGGGUAGACGAUGGGGA